Gambusia affinis (western mosquitofish) is the source of this 640-nucleotide long non-coding RNA. RefSeq lists it as uncharacterized. The record is from RefSeq and is a predicted model, not a curated record. The transcript is spliced from 3 exons. Lineage: Eukaryota; Metazoa; Chordata; Actinopteri; Cyprinodontiformes; Poeciliidae.
CAGAGUCACGGGAGUCUUUUCCUCGCCCAUGUUGAACGGAGGCUGCGACCAGAUUGACUGCAGCUCUGGAGCUCCGGCGCACGAUGACGCCUUCAGGGUGCUGCUCGGAAAUUCGCAAUGGAUGGCUGGAGUCACUUUGGUCUUGAUAAAACCCAGCGGACCGACACAAGCAGACGCCAUGGCAACCCAAAUCAUCACUGGAAACUGGGACCUUGAAUGCUUUCUGAAAAGCAAAACUUACCUUCGUCUGGACCGCUGAGCAGAGAAACCCGAUCUGUUCCCUCUUUAGCUUUAGCCCAGGAACUGUGAACGUCAUGCACCGGGUCCCCACCCUCCAUCGAGUGCAGGAACAGAGAACCUCACCAGAACCUCCCUGCGGAAUGACAGUAAAUCACUUUGACUCGCCACCAGGGGGCAGCAGAUGCUUCCGUUAAGCCAGCGGGUCUCCAUCACUGCUAACUGUGUCAGGUGUGUUUCUGUGGCGUGUUUGACUCCACUUCGAGUUGCAGCAUUUAGAAUUUCAUACUUUACCUCAGUAGUUUUAUGUUUUAGUUUAAUUUUACUGAUACUGAUAGUCAAUACAUCCACCGCAACAAAACCAACAUUUUACAGUAAUUUAGCUUUGUCGCAAUUUUCUCAA